UGUACGCAACAUAUCAUAACAAAAACGUGUUAAAUAGAGUAGAACCUUUUGGAGUAAAGAUGCUUGCUCAAUAUCCCAUUUUUAUUUGCACACAUCUAGCUAUUCCUAAUGCUGGGUAAGGCUGUGGCUACUGCGACAGCGCCAUCGGGAGUAAAUGAGUUAUUUUUUAUGAUUCUGGAGAGUUAGAACGAAUUUCUUCAUGAAUGGGCAUAUUUGGACAGCAUCCUAUUCUUGACAUUAUAUUCAUCAUCCUAUUCUACGCAAAUGAAUAACGAAGCGUUACCUGUAAAAAAUAGGAGUUCCAUUAUUGAUAAAACAGAAGGUUUAUUGGGUUUGAUUUUACAGACGCAUACUAAGUCAAGGUCGCGUUGCAAGAUCGCCGAACCACACCCUCGACAGCAGUUACGACGCCGUUGCUCGGCCAGGUCCCAUAGACGCCAAGCUGGACACAGGAGGUCAUUGCCCUGCGAGGAAGAGGAAAGCUCGGGAUCUUUCUCAAGGUCUAGGGCCUUCCCUCAAGGUCGCAGGGCUUAAAUGUCAGCUCGUUAAGCGCCCCACUUGAACGAGUUGUUUCUCCCUGUGGGUUCGUUCUCACUUCCUGGUUGUGGUUCUGCCUUUUCUAUUUUUCAAGUCGCUAGCUCGUUAUGGCGGAAGCCAAACGUGGAAGCAGCGUGAUCUUUUGACGGGUAUGGGGGAGAAUAGGCUUGCUUCACAGCCACUGAAAUGAAGGCGAAAGCGCGACACGAACUAAACUAUUCGAUAUAUUCUCUACUCACUCGAUCCGCUGAUCUUUCACGUUAGCACAGCAGAGCUGACCGGAGUACACCGAGGAUGCAGGAGAGGCGGGAAGAGCGGCGGAGGCUGGGGCGGCGACGCUGGAAGUGUCGACACUGGAAUAGUGAGGGUGCAACGACAAAAUAAAACUGUUUCGUCUCCCUCCGCCCUGCACACCCCGGCCAGACGCUUCCAAGGCUGGUGACACUGACGCGUCUCGUGCGUGUCUCCUCCGUCAUCCCUCACUGAUGGAACUGGCGCUUAUCAAUUGAGAAGUAAUUCUGCAGAUAAAGUUGGUAGAAAAGAUAUUUUUUAUUUAUCUUUCUUUUUUUUUUACUAUUUUCUGUUCAUAUUUCGCUGCUGUGCAUCAUCACGUAGAUUAUCAAGAAAGGCAAGGACACACCUACGCAUCACACUCGAAUCGAUGUCAGUCAAGUCAGCAAAAAUUUCCAGACACGGUCAUUCGCGGACCUCACGACCACCUUUACUUAAAAGUCCCACUGCAUACUCUUCACAGACGCCUAAAUAUGAAGACUGAGCCUCAGUUUUCCAUGGAUUUCGAAGCAUCAAUGAAGGUAGCAACAUUGAAAGAAAUCCAGAUAUAAUAACUUCGAGGAAAACCUUCGCUGCAGAUCGGAUCUCGAGAAGCAGUCCCGGAGAUCUGGCAGUCUGGAAGAAAAAAGUCACUCCUUUACAGGCUAUGGAACCAACCAACAAACAGAAAAAACUGAACAAAGAACAUGCAAAAUAAAAUGUGCUGUACCUUUAGAAGCCUUCUGAACUCACUAACUUUAUCAUUUGAAGGGAUGAGUCGACUGAAUGUACCGCUGUCCACACCACCUAAUUCCCGGAACAACCAGCAAAUACCCAUCACCAUGAUCUUGCCUGAACCUCGACUUAACGAUUUAAGAACGAAGGUACGGGUACAGUCGUCUUCGGAAGAGGAAUAUUAGGCCUUUUGAACACCGGUGAUAUUCCGGAACACCACAGCCAGAUUCCCUUCCUAAAAUAAGGUGUGCUAAGGAUCUCCCACAGGACAUACACACCAAGGGUUCGGUGACGACCCAGAGGACCGAUACACCAAGUAAAAAACUUCCAGACCGAGUGUCAUGCGUCCCAUAACCCAUAACCCUUUUUUCUAAAGGAGUCACAGGCUCUUACAUAAGGAUGAUAAACGGUAAGUAAUCAUAAUAAUAGGAACAAUAGUAAUGAUAAUAAUAACA
Non-coding RNA from Penaeus vannamei (Pacific white shrimp), 1997 nucleotides. The record is from RefSeq and is a predicted model, not a curated record. Lineage: Eukaryota; Metazoa; Arthropoda; Malacostraca; Decapoda; Penaeidae.